This 328-nucleotide ribosomal RNA is filed under the name Clostridium perfringens. Its description in RNAcentral is "bacterial SSU rRNA". It matches the Rfam family "Bacterial small subunit ribosomal RNA", at positions 1 to 326 of the family's 1533-position model. Lineage: Bacteria; Bacillati; Bacillota; Clostridia; Eubacteriales; Clostridiaceae. The record is from RNAcentral.
UAAAUUGAGAGUUUGAUCCUGGCUCAGGAUGAACGCUGGCGGCGUGCUUAACACAUGCAAGUCGAGCGAUGAAGUUUCCUUCGGGAAACGGAUUAGCGGCGGACGGGUGAGUAACACGUGGGUAACCUGCCUCAUAGAGUGGAAUAGCCUUCCGAAAGGAAGAUUAAUACCGCAUAAUGUUGAAAGAUGGCAUCAUCAUUUAACCAAAGGAGCAAUCCGCUAUGAGAUGGACCCGCGGCGCAUUAGCUAGUUGGUGGGGUAACGGCCUACCAAGGCGACGAUGCGUAGCCGACCUGAGAGGGUGAUCGGCCACAUUGGGACUGAGACA